CUGUGUGUUGUUUUGCCAGGAACAGAAAAGGAAUGGAGUCUUAGAACUUAGUAAGUAAUCUAGCUAGAUAUGCGUUAGAUUCUGUUUUGUUUAAAUGGCUGAUAAAAUAAGCUGUGCUGAAUAGAAUGUAUAUUCCUGUUUUUGUGUCUUUUUGUAACUUAAGGUUUUGCCUAGAGGGAUUCUCUAUGUUUUGAAUCUGAUUACCCUGUAAGGUAUUUACCAUCCUGAUUUUAUAGAGGUGAUUCUUUUACUUUUUCUUUAAUUAAAAUUCUUCUUUUAAGAA
This is a non-coding RNA of Caretta caretta (loggerhead turtle), 283 nucleotides long. The record is from RefSeq and is a predicted model, not a curated record. NCBI's taxonomy places the organism in Eukaryota, Metazoa, Chordata, Testudines, Cheloniidae.